AAUCAUAUCACCUGUAGUUGAAGGGUCGUCCUUCUUGUCACAAAUGAUACUUUACUUACACGGACUCAAUACUAACGAUAAUUUUUAUUGGCUGAAAUAAGAAAAUGAUGUCCAUGUGAUCGGAAAACGCAAAUACAUUAUACAGGUGAUGAUAUGUCAAGGAAACAGGAUAAAUAAGUAAACAUGUAUCGGUAAGACACGGUUUCUGGAUGAACUGGGGAUGAAAGCAGAUCUCAUGGUAACUUUCCGGUGAAUUUGAACAUACCUUAAACUUGUGUUUGCAGUAAAAAUUGCUGGAGUCCAUUUCAAGGUGGUUUUUCGAAUAAGUUUUUUUUUAUAUAGAAUAUAAUCCUCGUUGCGGAAAUAUACCGAUCUUUAAUAAACUAUGGGCGCGUUGAUGUUGGUUUAUAUUCUAAUGGGUGUAUUUGGUGUGGGUGUGAACAGCUACCCACAGGGAGCCCCCACACAGACAGAGGCAUGUGUGAAUCUUCAGCCCGUCCACCGUGAACGUCAAACACAACAGAGGAUCCCAAAUAGACAGGAGAAGGCCCCAUACAGUGUUUUGUUAUCUCAACAAUACUAUGUCGCGUGCGAGAACCCGUCAACGUGUCAGCAGAGACCCAUACAAGUUGUAAUCAGAGGACAGCCAAAUCAGCAGAUUCCAGGAGCAGGAGGACGAGGAACACCCUUUCGAGGAUUUAUAAUCCAGGCCAGGACGCCCUCUGGUGGCACCCGAGCAUGGGGGCGUUUUGUCCCCCAACAGGCGCGUAACUUUAAGACAAUCGCAUGCCAGAACGGACCAACACUGACACACACUAUAAACAGUGAUAAACAGGAAGUUAGGUUCAACUGGAUACCGGAACCUGGCAUGCGCGAACAAGUACAAUUUGUAUCCACUAUUGUGCAGAACCUUCGGACUAUCUAUCCCCUGGUAUACUCGAGUAUCAUCAAGCCCACCACACGGACUGGAGAUGACUUUUUCCCUACUACAACAACUAUCACUACCACUUUAACUUUUUCCACUCCAACUACCACUUCGGGUUUCAUUUCUAACUCCACUUUAACACCAAUCCUCACCACCUCGACAAUCACAUUGACUACUACAGAGGACGGUAAGUAGUUAUCAACGGACACAGUUUCACUAUUGUUCAUAUAUUUGCACAGAUAAUUUUCCUUUAUUUAUUGGAACUCUGACUUACAGGAUAUCAAAUUACGAGAAAUGUUUGAAUGCAGAAAAUUUUAUAUUUUUCAUAGCUUUAGAACGCGCAAGUACGAAAAUAUAACUACCUCCAAAGGAAGUGUUAAGAUAUAGGAACAGUCGUGGAACUUUGAUUGCUUGUGUAUUUCAACUUAUACAUAAUGUACCCCGCUCCCCCUACUCCCUCCAUCUUAUUUCGUUUUACACUUCAUUCUAUAAAGAGGAUAAUGUGUAGUCAGGAACCAUUAAUCACUUGUAUUUGCAUGUAUAAUACUUUGCAACUAACGCUAACUGGCCGACAUAACACGCCUGAUUUGAAUAAGAUGAUUAGCAAACUGUAAUAUGCUUAUGCUCAUGGCUGUUCGUUGCUACAUAUUAUCCCGCUUAUGUGUACUCUACUGACGUCAUAGAUACAAGCCCCGCCCCUUUCCUGAGCACAUUUGCCCCUGCGAGAUUCACCACUACAGGUAAGUAUACCUUAAUAACAUGCCGCCCCCAUUAGUAAAAUGAAAUAUCCUGAAUUAUUGUCUGUGCUGUAAAUGGCUCGUUUGUAUAUACAAAACGUAUGUUGCUAUUAAUGCUUUAAUAAUAAUUGCCUAAUUGCUUGUACGUUUACUAUUAUGUUUUUACUUUGAAGAGAAAAAUAAACAUUUUCGCAUUACUGCUCUAAUUAUCAAUCCAUGUUUCUGUGAUUACAUUAAUAUAAUAUAUACUAGUAUAUAGAUAUCAAUUGAUUUGCUAGUAAAAAAAAAAUGAAAAUGAUACAACUCUAUAAACUGUAACAGGAAAUGUACAGUCUAAUUGCUUUUAGCUCUUGAUGAAAUUUGAAAUUGAAUGACAAGCAGCAUAGGAAACAUGCUAUGUAUUAGUUAGAAGCGACAGAAGCACAUUAAAUUGUAUCCUGUUUUCACAGCUUUGUCGUUUUAGGGGAGGGCUGGGGAAAGUGAUAGCUGUCUGAUGAUAGUUCCGUAGAUCUUGAAGUAAUGUUCUUAAUGUCAAGAUAAGCUACGUCUUCUUAUUAUAAAGACAUUCAUUUCGAAAAAAAAAAAUUGAUAUCUUUAUUCGGAGAUAAAAUUGCUUAAUAUUUACCAAGAAGACAUGCCACUUUGAACUAUGAGAUUAAGUUUACUGCCGGUACAACGCGAGUGGAAAUGUUCUAGGUUGACAGCUCUCAAAGAAUGCUGAAUCUACACUUUAUCUCAGUGAGGUUGAUUCUGAAGCUACCGAUGAUCAAAAGACAUUUGAGAUCUUUGGGUUAACUUUGAGGAUUUUGGUGUGUAAUAUUUAAAUAAGCCUCGAGGUAAUUCAUCAAGAUCAACUACGUUCUACCAUGGACUUAAUCAAGUUAGAUAAGUUUUUCAGUGGUUUCAGUGACCGAAAUUUGCUAGGAAUAUGCCAGCAAGAUUAUAUUAAGCUUGGUCCUUUAUCUUUAUAUGAAAAAUGACUUGUUUUGCCGUACAUCCUAUAUCUUUGACACUAACUAGUACCGUAUAUAACCCUAACGGAACGUUAAGAAACAAUGGUUUAGAUAGGGUUGAAUUGUCAACAGUUUCCGAAACGUUUGUAAGAAUCGCAUGCAAACGUUUUUUUGUGGUAUUUUCUGGACUUCGUGCACACAUACACAUCAGCAAUUCGUGCGUACAUCUGGGGCAUCAGACACAAGCACGGAACUCAGUGUCUCGGCCCUCAAUUUGAAUAAAUAUAUCACUGACAGCUGGAUCUUGUGUUCGUUAGCCAAUAGAAGAUAGGGGAGGAGCCAAAAGUCAGGUGCCCGUCACCCAGGGUACUUACUGACCGACUGAUCAGAGUUUGCCAACCUUAACCUUUUCCGCUCGAAUUGUGGCGGCAGUUGUUUUACAGCAUCAUUUUUUCUUGUAUGUAACGUUUCGGAUUAGUCUUGUAUCGACCGUUAGUUUUAAUUAUGAGAUACGCGAUUCGAAAUCUUUAGCGUGCAUGUAUGCUUUUCUAUUGCCUUUCUUAAUAGUUAAAAUUCCUACAUCUCCGAUUACGAGCAAUUAUAACUGAAUGAAAACAGGAAAAGUAUAUUGUAUUUCAUACAGUACCAGCAGUUAAAUACUGUUUAAGAUUCAAAGUGUAGAAAUCAUUAAUAGUAUACCGAAGAAAGUCUAUCCUAGACUGGAUCUAUCUUCGACUCUUAGCGUUAGGUCUUUUUAUCAUCAUUCUUGGGUCGCUACUAGUGAUAAUUAGGUAUACAUGUAUUAAUUUACCGUAGGUGAGAUUUUAUACAUUUGUUUUUGUUUUACGCUGUAGGUGAUGUAGAAUCUUUAACUGACUUUAGUAUUUUUCCCUUUACAGCCUUAAUCAGCAGUGGUACAACGAAAAAGGCAGGGCUUACCAUGAUCCUAGCUUCUUUUGUAAUGACAUUGUUGUAAUGCUUACUGAUCGCUUAACAUCUUGCGAUCUUUCUGAAAUAGACUGUAUGCCUCCUACACUCACCUCAUUGUGUAUCAUUGGUGAUAUCUUGUUACCUAUUGUUAUAUACAGUAUUACAUAGUACAUGUAUUACAAGUUCUGAUAUUAUAUAAUUGAUGCAAGACCUUAUUAUUUUAUGCUGUAAUAAAUUAUUACAUAUAAUAAUGCAUUAAAUAUCAAACAAAAUUUGAUAUGGUGGUGUAAUAUUGAUAUGAUAUCUUAUUAGAAAGCUGUACCAUAUCAUUAUGCAUUUUCAUAUAUUUUGUUUACUUUCUGUUUAGUAUAAUACUAUUAAACAUCAUCAGCUGUAUUUGUCUUAAUGACAACAGUGCAAUUUUAAUGUUAAUGUUAAAGAGAUUUUUCCUUCAACAAUAUAACAUUUUGUAUCAUAUUUAUUCAAUAGUUAGUGCUGUAACAGUUAUUCUUGUAUCUGUGAACUGUGUGUUUUGUGUAUGCAUGCUUAUAUUUACAACAGAUUUAUCGAUUUAUGAAUACCUCGUUAAACCUCAUUCAACGUCUUUCAGCAAAGAUAGUUCAGCCAGUCACAAAUGUAAUUAGAUAAUAUGCUUAAUCUUUAUUUACGUCAAUUUGCUUUGUAAAUAUAUAUUUUUUUUAUACUUUUCGUAAUUCAAUUGAUGACUAAUUUUCGAAACAUUUACAGCGAAAAUGCCCCAGGACAUGUAUGCAUAUUGUCCCUGUUGUUGACAGAGCAACGAAUACUAUCAUGUGCCUUCUAUAUUAAAUUAUAGCAAGCACAACAUUUUGUAUCAUAUUGAGAUAUUAAGACAUAAUUUAUGUCUUGAAAAUAUAUUUCGAAAUGGUUAAUUGAUCAUUAAUAUAACCACCCAUACACUCUAAACUGUUAUUAAAGUGUAUGUUACUCUUUAAAUGACUGUUAAAAUAAUAUCACAGAGAGCAGACCGUUUCAUGUGUAUGACAGGGUUAUUUCCCCUUGUUAGGAGCAUUCUAAUACAAUGAUAAGAUAUUGUACAAUGAAACUUAAAUAAACAGCGGUAAAAAUAUACGCAAAUAUAUAUAACCAUAUAUUAUCAUUUCGCCUCUAUCUAUAUUUCGAUAUGAAAUCUUUAUAUUCGUUUAUAUUUCAACGUAUUUUACUAAUUUAGAAUUGUUUUAACAAUGAUCGCAUACAAUAUGAGAACAAAGUUAGGAGAUGAUAUUAUCGUAUUUUUUGGAUUAAAUCCUGCAGUUUGACAGAGGAAGACAUGAAGUGAAAAAGGAACAUUCUAUUCUCAGCAUUUUAGCGCUUAAAUUACUAGUUGAAACAUCCCACUUUGAUUUACUUCCGGUAGAACUGACGAAUUUGUAAAAUGCUUCCCAGUGGUCAUUUGAAUACCGUGAUGUAUGUAUAAGAUAUUUCAGUUAACUUGCCGAUCGAACACGUUUUAUCUAUUUAUCUGAAAUGAUUGAUUUCACAACUAUUUAGAAAUAAUAAAAUUUUAUUUUGAUUUAAUGUCAUAUUUCUACACGGGAGUAUAAUUUGGUGCUAAUCGGGCAAAGCUAAAUAGUUAAAGGUCACACUCGACCGUUAGGUCUUCAUAAACAAAGAUGCAAACGAACAUAGCGAUUACAAUCCAUUAAAAGAAGCAGGGUUUUCCAUUAAUUUUGAUGUAAUUUCUAUGCAAUCUAAAAUGAAACUAUAAAAACGUAAUUGUUCUUUGCAUUUCCUAGCUUUAUUUUUUAUUCAUUUUUCUUCAUUUUAUUUUGUCUCUUUAUUCUGGCAGCUAAUAUGCCAAAUAUCUAAACCAUGCAAGACUCUAUCUGUGUUUGUCCUGCUUGGAAGACAUUUUUUAAAAAUCACUUUUCUGUUGUAUAUUCAUGUACAUACAUAUGUAAUCGUUCCUACCUGUAAAUAAAUAUCUGUAUAUAUCACAAA
Pecten maximus is the source of this 5525-nucleotide RNA transcript. It is a transcript of the gene named mucin-5AC-like, with no coding region annotated. The transcript has 6 exons. The record is from RefSeq and is a predicted model, not a curated record. NCBI's taxonomy places the organism in Eukaryota, Metazoa, Mollusca, Bivalvia, Pectinida, Pectinidae.